UGUACAGUGGUGCAGUGGUUAGCAUUGCUGCCACGCAACAAGGAGGUUCUGGGUUUGAGCCCCGGCCGGCCAG
Non-coding RNA from Gymnothorax javanicus (giant moray), 73 nucleotides. NCBI's taxonomy places the organism in Eukaryota, Metazoa, Chordata, Actinopteri, Anguilliformes, Muraenidae. The record is from the annotation of a GenBank genome assembly.